UUCCACAAUUUAUUUGAAAUACUAAACGAUGUCCGAUUUGAGUAAACGACCACUCGUUGGAAAUCUUAGGGUGUCAAGAAUACAAAUAUAAUUUUUGUUUUGAGGGUUAACUAUUCAAUUGGUUCAGUUUGACCAAAUAAUGGGUACUGGUACAGAAACAGAGCAUAAACUUUUCUCAAACUUGUAGGUAGAUUUUCUCAUACUAUACUUAAUUAAAUUUAACAAUUAUGGUUUCAAUCUUGUAUUACAUUUUGUCUUCUUUACACUGGAUUAAAAAUCAUUAGCAUACGACUUAUAUUCAGAGAGUUGUGAUAAAUUUACCACAGGUAUCUCUACAACAUUUUGCAGAAACUUUUCUCAAACUUGUAGGUAGCUUUUCUCAUACUAUACUUAAUGAAAUUUAACAAUUCCG
This 412-nucleotide long non-coding RNA is filed under the name Trifolium pratense (red clover). RNAcentral's name for it is "long non-coding RNA (TPRA_LNC000418)". The record is from RNAcentral. Lineage: Eukaryota; Viridiplantae; Streptophyta; Magnoliopsida; Fabales; Fabaceae.